GGAGAAAUAAGAAAGAAGAAGAGAAAAGAAAAGAGCCUAUACGGCUUUGGCCAUAGAAAAAUUGACUCCUUAAAAUCUUGUUCCAAAAAUUAUUUUCUUGUUGUAUUUCCACUAAUUCAAGGCUCCUCUACAACUUGGUGUAGUUGUUUUGGAAGAUAGAGCCCUUGCUUCAUCAAUUUGACACCUUGGUUAAGUGAAGAACUAAGGAGGAAAAGAUUUUGGAGCAAACGGGAUUUGAGUCUAAGCGAGCGUAAGACGCACGUAAGGUACAGACAUUUAUUGAGGUGAUCCGUCAGCUUAGGAUCCAUAGUUUGCUGUCUGGAGUGCUCCUUUGAUCCGGAGCCCAUACUUUUGGUACAGACCUUUCAGUUAUACAUAUCUUUAUGUUUAUGUCUAUGUUGGGUGCGGCGGGGCCCUGUCCCGUCAUAUGAUUCUGUUGUCUGUAUUAGAGGCCUGUAGACAUGUAUGUGGGUCAUGGGUCAUGUUUGGUCAGUGAAGUUUACUUGGUCUGUGUCCAGUAUUCUCCUACACUACGCUAACAUGAUCGAUUAUGCUUUAUGAUAUAAACAACGAUUUAAAAGAUAUGUUUAUAAUUUUGUACGCAUGGGAUUCGUAAUGUGUAAACGUAAGCGUAAUUUGGUUAGUAAGUAUGUACGGGUGUCCACGUCGGGCACCAGUUGCGGCCUACGGGGUUGGGUCGUGACAUAAAUAUACUUCCAAACUAUGUCUCCUUUGUCCCUUUACUGCUUUACAUGAUGAUCAAACAUACAGAUGGUAAAUACUUUUUUUGUCAAAAUAUAAAUCACGCAUGUUC
Long non-coding RNA from Lycium barbarum (goji berry), 814 nucleotides. RefSeq lists it as uncharacterized. The transcript is spliced from 3 exons. NCBI's taxonomy places the organism in Eukaryota, Viridiplantae, Streptophyta, Magnoliopsida, Solanales, Solanaceae. The record is from RefSeq and is a predicted model, not a curated record.